CUGCCGUCUGCGUUUGAUUUAAACCAUGCAGCUUAUCCAUGUAAGUUUGAAAUCCUGUCAGUUUUCAGCGUUUUUGGAGUGAAGUGACCCAAACAGAAACCCUGGAAGCAGCUGCAGCUGCAGCGACAUUCGCUCUUCAAAGCUCCGGUUCUGGUCCAGACGCGGACCGGGCUGGCAGCUCUGACGGGUCCAGGUGUUGGGCUGAUUCAGGUUGUGCUGCGCACUCAGCCCAGAUCAAAGGCUGCGUGUUCAACAAGCUGUGAAUCAGGACCUCCAGCAGCUCACCGCAGGGAGCCACACUGACUCAGCGGCUCUUAGUCAAACAUGGAGGCUUUCCUCUGACUCUCUGUCUUCGUGUUUCCACGUUUAAUCUCCUCUGCUGAUGUAGGAGCUCAGACCGUCCAGCUGACUUCAGCCCAACAGGACCGUGUCCAACGUCAGGUCGUAGCUGUUCUUCCCAGUCUGAGGCCGUGACCUCUGACCCGACUGGAAUCUGAGCCGAUGUUUGUGUGGUGAAGCAGCUCCGCCCGACCCGCUCAGUGGAAACAGAACCGUUUGAAACGGAUUUGCUGUGUUGGUUUGACCCCAGCGGGUUGCCGUUAAAACCUUUAACCUGUAUGCUGGUGGACACCCAGAGCUCCCAGUCCUCCCAGUAGCGUAGCAGCAGUUGGUCUUUAUUCACCAGAUCAGAUUCAGCUGAUCCUGCCUGAAUAAAUUACCCUCGCUGCUUCUGGCUGAACGUUUAAAACCUCCGGAGUUCUGCUGAUUCAGACUGCUGUUUUCAAUUAUCAGGACUCUGAAGCACUUUGACCUCCUUCGCCUUCAUCCUGUACGGACCGCUGAGGCUUCUGGGUAAAUGUCUUCCCAUUUAAUGUCUUCUCUUUUAACAUCUUCUUGUUUAACGUCUUCCCAUUUUUAAAAUUAUUUUUUCCCCACCAGGGGGUCUUUUUGUGGGCUCUAGUGUCCCUUAUUUGAAAGGCCGACAGGAAAGAGGGAAUGAGAGGGGGGAAGACUUGCGGCAAACGUCCGCUGGGCUCGGGAAUCGAUCCUGCGACCGCCACGUCAAUGACCGAAGGCCUCAAAACGUGGGUCGUGCCACCCCCUACGCCACCACACCCAUCGUCUUCCCGUUUAUCGUCUUCCCGUUUAACGUCUUCCCGUUUAACGUCUUCCCGUUUAUCGUCUUCCCGUUUAACGUCUUCCCGUUUAACGUCUUCCGGUUUGUUGUGAUAAUCACACCUUGAGAUGAAGCUGGACAUUCAACCCAGUGAAGCUUUCCAGCUUUAGCUUCAGCUGGUGUCUGUUAAACAAGGAUCACUAAUCAAUUUAUAAAAUCAAUCACUUUGUUACAUGUGCCUAUGGCAGGUUUGUGUUCUCAGUGUUUAAUGUGACUUCUGUUCACUGGUCAGCUUCUUAUUGGGCUUGUAGAUGUAACUUUAAUCUUGCAGCAGCUUCUCUGGAAAUGUCUUUCCACAUUACCGUAUUUAAGCUGCUACUUUUUCCCCGCGCUUUGAACCAUGCGGAUAGGAAACGUUACGUUUCCUAUUUUUUCAUUUUAGAUAUAAAAGUUAAAUGUUUCUCAUGUGUUUAAAUCAUAUUUGUUCUGUAACGGUGCUGCACGGUUAUAUUUACAGCUGAGCUAUAUUUGCAUAUUUUCUAAGUUUGAAAAGGCUUAGCACACUUAGCUUAUGCUAAGCUAAUUUACCAAAUGAAUUCAAAAUGGUGAUGUACUAAAGUUUGACAUUUGUGUUGAAGAAUUGCUCUUUUGUUUACAUUCAUGCUCUUAUUUUGAAGGGGGUGAAGGCUGUUUCAGCAGUAGUUCUGUUUCUCCUCAUGUUCUUAGCCUGUGACGUUUAUUCACUACCCAGAAUGCAUUGCUGCGUGCUUUCUGACAGAAGCUCUUCUGUUUUCAAUCAGGAAAAAUCAGCAGCAGAGUUACCAAAACUAUAGAAUGAGACAUGUUUGAAUUCAGUUGAUGGAUUCUCUGGUGCCGACCGUCUGCUUGGACUGGACCAACAGAACCAAACAACCUGGUGGGUCCGGUCCUCAUAGCAGCAUCAGGCUUGUUUUCCUCAUCAUUUAACUGAACGAAGAAAAGCUGAGCUUCGUCUUCUGUGCAUCUGGAUGAUCUGCUCUGAAACAUUUCCAGUGGAGUUUAACCUUCAGGUUUUAAAUCUUUUUAAGAAUCAUAACAGGCUUGAUGGAGCCUCUGUGGCUGAGAGGCAGAAAACGAUGAAUGAGGGCAGGAAACCGCCGGCAUGAAAGAACAGCUCCGAGUUUCCUGCUGCGUAAAUAAAGACGAGCUGAAGUUAUUUAAUAUUCCAGUCAUUUCUGGUCCUGAAUAAACAGGGAGGAUCUACAGACUGCAGUGGACACAUCAGACUCAUGAUUAAUGCAGAUCAGACGAGAAUCCAUCGUUGUUCCUGGACAUGAAGCAGCAUGCAGCCUUUUAUGGUCACAAAGUGCUGAAAACUGCCUCAGGAUCUGGAUAAACCCUGGCUGUUUAUGUUGGGACCACCUCACUUCCUGUUAGGCUGCUGACUAACAGCUCGGCCUUCAUGGAAGGAGGCCGGUCCUGUGGGGUCAGAGGUCACGUCACACAGACUCGUGCUGCAGCGCGGCUCCGUGCAAACAUUAAAGUCCCAACAGAAACACUGAAAUAUGAAUGAGACCGCAGCAUAAACAAACCACAGAAGAAGCUUCUUCCUCACCUCAGCAGGACGAGCCGCGGCGUUACGCCAGCCUGACUCGCUCAUCAUCAGCUGAACUUCGGGUUGCUGGUUGAAUUCCUCAGAUAAGAACAAAACCGUCUGACGUUUUAGCUGACCUUUAUUGGAUGGAUAAGUUCUCGGCAGGCUAAGAUUCAGGAACGCCUCUGCUGCAGAUGACCUUUAUGAACAAUAUUUAUGUUAUCAGAACCAGAAGCUUCAUCAGGAAACAAAGAGCCGGACUGUCAGGAGGUUUUCCUUCUGUAACACAACGCAGCACGAUGGAGGUAAAACACUGAGUCCGUACAAAACCAUAAAACUGAACUACAGGAGGCUGGUUUAUUUUAUUUUUACAGGUUUUAUUGGCUCUAGGGCCUUUAUUUGAGAGAGGUCAGACAGGAAAGAGGAAGACGUGUCAAAGGUCACCAGGCCGGGACUCGAAUCCGUUUUCCCUGAUUCCCAGGUAAAAUGUUGCUGAGAUGAGUGAAGGAUUGUUUUGUCUGACGUUGUUCUGGGAAACCAGCCAACCACAGUGAGUUUGGACCAAACCGCCGCAAGCAGCCGGUCCAACAUGACGGGCAGCGAGGGAGGAGCAGGAAACGCACCGGGAGAGGAAACCAGGAGCAGAACCAUGUGGUUUCACAGCCGGGCCGGUCCGGUCCGGUCCGGUCCGGGCCGGGCCGAUCUAAACGUCCAGCCGCACUCUGCUCCUGACGCCUCGGAAAACAGCUUCAAUACUAACAGCCACAAGGUUCUGGUUCCACGUCUGUCGGCCCGGUUACAGUGUGUCGGCUGGUUCUGUUUCCUUUCAGUGGGUUUCAGGUUUCUGAGGAAGCCGGUUCUGAUCCGGAUGGGUUAAUUUUAUCUGUAAAGGAGCAGCAGAGGCAGAGAGGCUGCAGCUGCCUGGGAUCUUCAUCUGUCAUCCUCCUCAUCCUCAUCAUCAUGAUCCUCAUUAUCUGUUCUCACUUUCUCCUCUCUGCUUCCUGUUUCCUCCAGGUGAACCUCCGUCUUCCUGCUCUCUGUUUACCCAUCUCUUUCCCAUCCUUGACUUCUUCUCUCUCUCUCUCUUCGUCUCUCUCUCUUCGUCGCUCCCUCGUUAGCGGGUCUCAUCCCUCACUCCUGUCGUUCUCCUACGCAGGAUGACGAAGGAAGCGGUGGAGUGGAUUCUUCUGAUCUCCUCAGCUUUUUGAAGUUCUGUCGUCUGUUUUCUCUCUUUAACUCUCUUUGUGCAUCAUCUCCCCCCAGAGUGUGUGUUUGUGUGUGAAUGUGUCGCCUCUUCUGUCUCUGAAGAGCUCUGAGUGCUUUAUGUAACACACACACACACACACACACACACACACACACGGUGUGUUAAAGGGACCUGGAGCUGAACCUGAAUCUCACCUGAGCCGCCAAGCGGAGUCAGAACUCUGAAAGUCCUCUGAAGGACACGGUGUCCUCUCAAACUCGGCGUCCCGCACGAGGACGUCCUCACAGCCAACCGUCCAGAGACACAGGAUCAAACACGCUUCAUCUUCUUCUACUUCCUGUCUUGUUUCCAGGCUGAAGUCUCCAGAUAAUUUGAUAGAUGAGGGUAAAACUGCUCAAGGACUCCUGAACGUGGCAGCGAAGUCUGUAAACGCAUGCAGAGGAUCCACGUUUUACCUCUGGAACAAAGGAGCAGGAAUAAAAACUUUAUUACUGAAAGAUGAGGAUUCUUUGGCUCCAAAGGGUUAAAUCUUUAUGUUUCUCAUUCUGUAUUAAACAUUUAGUUUGAUGAUGUUCCUCUGAGCGUUCUGUGUGUUUCAGGUUUUAUGUUCUGAUGGAUCUGCUGCAGUGGGACUGAAACCAUCUGUGAUGUUCUGAUACUUUCACCUACUGAACCAGAACCUUCCAGAACAUUUCAUAGAGACUCUGUUUUAUUUAAUUCUUUGUUUGUCUUGUUUCAGUUUCCAGCUACCAUAAAAAGCUGAUUUUUUUCAUGAUUACAUUAAAUUAAGUGAAACAAGCAUAAAUUUGUGGUUCAGAAAGUCAGAAUCUAAUGGAUUCAGAGAAAAACUUUUAUUACAGAGGAAGGUUUUUUUUGUGAAUAUUUUGGAUUUUUCUUUAGACAAAUGUUCCAGAACCAGAACCAGCAGUUCUUCCUGAGGCGGUCCAGCUGUGUUCUUCCUCACCUCUGUGUUUUCAUUUGAACUCUCUGUUUUAUCUCCAGAGCCAUAAAAAUAAAUCAGGUGUUUUAUUUCGGACUCUGAUGGAUGAAUCAUCCCAUCGGUACUGGGAGGACGGCGGUCCGAUUCGGCUGCAUCAAUGCAGGAUAAUCGUCUGAGACGGUCCUGACCUGAUGUGACUGCAGGGCCGGGUCCAAAGAUCUGCUGUCGGCUCCGUAAUCCUGCAGCCAAGCAAGCCGGCUCAGGGUUCAGGUCAAAGGGAGUUUGGCAGUCAUGGCGACGUCCCAGACCUGCGAGGAUGAUCAAGAUGUGACUGAAGACUGGAUUUGUUCCUGAUUGAGACUGAGGAACGCGUGAGCUUUCAGAGGAAGCUCAGAUACUUUCUCUGAAAGCAUCUAGGCCGUGGCUUAGAAGAAAACAGAAAUCUGUUGGACCAGCAGCAGAGUCCGGCGUCGUCCUCACCGUAAUCAUCAGAACACAGCAGGAGGAGGAGGAGGUGCCAUGAUGUGUAGGAGUGGACCCAAUCGCAGCAGUGACUCUUAAUUAUGAUCACAUCCAGUCACACUGAAGGAAGAAACAGGCUGAUCCAAUAAACUGGAGAACCAGAACUCGGCCCGGUGCCGCCUGGAUGAUUACUGACAGAACCAAACUGGUUUGGUUUGAUGAAUGAGGAGGAAACCAGUCUGGGUUCAUCUAACACCCAGAUGGAAGAUGAGAUCCGGCUCGUAUGGGGCCCAUUUCUGCAGACACAUCCUGAUUGAUGUCAUCUAAAAAUAAAAAUGUUUGUUCAUUAUUAGUAGCUACUUUGACCUGAUCUCAGGAUUUUCCAUUCUAGUUUAUUCUUCUAAUGACUCACCUGUUCCUCUGCUCAGCGCUUUGCUUCGUGUUUCCAACCUGGAUCUUUCCUGACCUCCUGACCUCCUGACCUCUUGACCUCCUCCUGCUGUCAGCUGUUAUUUUAUUGCUUUAGUUAUUAAAUGUAAAAUAAUUCUGGAUUCCUCCUGUUUGGUCUCAGAACAUGACAGAAACAAAGCGACAUGAAGCAGUUAUCUGAAACUGAUCUCAUCUGUGCUGCAUGGCAGCAACAUCAACACGCUGGAGGUUAAAGGUCACGGUAUCAACUCGGUCCUCAUCAGUCAGGAAGUCAUAUAGAUGUGAAUGAACCUCUUACAGUGGAAGGACUUCCUGACACCAGAAUCAUUUAGGGGUUUAUUGAUGUUUCUGAGGGACCGUCUGGCACCGAGCUGGUUAGAAAUGUUUGGUCCUGAUCUCUGAUGGACUUCAGAUCCAGUCAGAUAUUGACUGUAGACUCAAAUCUCCAAACUUCUCCUGGAUUCUUACAGCUGAUUCAUUUCUGCUUCAGAUCAGUUUGUCUAGUUUCUCUCUUUCUCUGCUCUGAAACCAUCCGACAGUUUAGGACUAAAGUUUAGAUUCAGAUCUUUAAGUAUAUUUACCUUAAAGACUUUUGUUUUUUUCUGGUGAAUCUGGUUAUUUCUUUCUGCUGUUUUUGUAUUUGAGACGUUCACUGAUUCAUUUCUGACUUUAUUCUUGUUCUUUCUCUCAGUGAGACUUCCUUUAAAACACAUCUCUUCAUAAGAUGUUUAUCAUCUUUCUGUCGGAUCCUGUGGAGAAACAGCAGAGCUAACUGUGGCUCACUGCUGCCCCCUGCUGGAUCUGAUCACAGAUUACACCCAGAAUAAUUUACCUCUGUCUAUUAUAUGACCUGCCUGACAGAUUUAUUGUCUGAUUUUGUUUAUGAAUCAGUAAGAUGUUUGGUUGCUCUUCACUGAAACUGUAAAAGUGUUUCUCACAGAGUGAUUAGUUACCAAACUAUUAAUCACAAGUUAGAGAAAAUGACAAACAUGAAAUAUUUUUAACUUAAAACCCAAAACUCCGGCUUUUAAGGAGUAAAUAAAAUUUCUCUGCAUCGUUUUAAACAUCCAAAAGGUCACAUGAUUUCUGAGAAGUUAAUAAAGGGAAGCUCUCGAUGUUCACUCAGUUCAGAAGCCUUUUAGUUUCAUCGGAUCAGAAUAAGAAGCUGACUUGGUGAAUGUUUGACCGGACAUUCGUCUCCUUUGGGUUUGUGGGCUGUAAAGGGAACCAGAACCAGAACCAGAACCAGAACAGUCUCCACCAACGCUCAGGUUGGAACCACACAACUUUACAACUUCCUGCUCUCUGUCUUCACUUUGACCAUUCAGUAGUUUAAUGGUGAACAGAAACUUGUUCUGUUCACAUUCUGUAAAUAAGUUGGAUUUUUAAGUCAUUCUGAAUAUUUCCGUGUUAAUCUGUUGCAGUUUAUUGAAUAUAAUUCUGUCCUUUGUGAAAAGAGAAAUUAUUCUCCUGGUAGAUGUUAGAAAGUUUUGGACAUUUACAGAAACUGCUGAGUUCCUCAUGUUGAAGCUGCUUUCUUAUCAUCCUGCAGAUCUGAUGUUAUCAUGAAGCUCUAGGUUCAGACUUUGAGAUCAGCUCAAAGGAUGAAUGUCAGCUGGAUGUAUCGAUGUCUGUAAUCCUCUAGACUGUUUCAGACAUUUUAAAGCCUCAUCAGAUUCAAGUUUACUGCUGAAAUCAAUUUGUUAAACUUUCUGCCUUGCAGGACACUCAGACAGCAGCUGCCUGGUUUCUUUUCCAGACAGACUGCAGUGCAGAAGAUGGAGGUUCGAGUGAAGGAUGAUCAGGACAAAGCCGAGUCUCUGGGAUCCAGCUGUCUGACUCUGACGAGAAUCUGAUCCAAACCUGCUGCUUCUCACAAUGAACAUGAACCUUCAGACAAAACACUUGGUGGCUGUAAACUCAGAAAGGAUGAAUGUGAAGUUGUGGCUUCAGCUCUGAAGUCCAACCAACAUCUGACUGAACUGGAAAUAAAUCGGAUCGACAUACUGGGAACCAUUACAGACUCUGAUCUGAAUCCUGUGUUUGAGAUCCUGAAGAGUUCAGUCAGUAAAGUGAAGAAUCUGAGGUUUGUUUUCUCUGUUUAUUCUAUAAAAACUUUCAUUGAUACUUUAAUAUUUAUUCAUCUUCACAUUUAUUCUGUUUUCUUUAAAACAAUCUGCUCUCAAAGUGUCAGAUUAUAAUUUCUAAAAUAUUUUGUUUUGUCAAUGAAUGAUUUUCCUUUUUCAGACUUUCAGAAAAUUGAUCUUUAUUUUCACUUUAAAAUGUUUUGGACUGAUGAAAAAUCCAAAAAGAAAGUAAAGCUGGAGACAUGAGAGAUCAUAAGAAACUAGGUAUUAACGAGGAGAGGAGGCAGAGCAACAGGUCAGAGUUCAUGAGACGAACUGGCGGCUCGUAGUGGAGAAAGAGGAGCUUAAAUACUAGGAGGAGGUGAGAAGAAUGAAGCAGAGAUGAUGAACUAAUUGGUAACAGGUGAGAAAAGUUGAGCAGGAGUCAGCAGAGGGUGGAGGAGAAGGUGGCAGAGGGAAGCUGGGCUUCUUUGCUUUAUUUAUUUUAUAGAAAAGUAAUAAUAAAAAAGUAACUUUGUUUUUCUAAAUAAGCCAGACUGCAGGUCUCUGUUGCUCUGUUGUCUUUCACUGGUGGAACAGAAUUAUUCCUAAAAAGACGGUUUAUAGUUGAUGCAUUUAAAGGGCCACCAAGCCGGGAGCGUGGACCAAUCUCUGCACGUUGCUUCAUAUGAAGUUUACCUCAGCAUGGAUUUCAUCCUUUCUCUCCAACUGGACGCAGGCUGACCUGUAUGGAUAUUUACAUCAACCCCUGUGAGGACCAGUGUUGGCAUAGUUACUUUGAAAAAGUAACUUUAAUCAGACUACUGAUUACUCCUUGAAAAGUAACUUAGUUAUAUUACUG
Long non-coding RNA from Gambusia affinis (western mosquitofish), 8656 nucleotides. RefSeq lists it as uncharacterized. Lineage: Eukaryota; Metazoa; Chordata; Actinopteri; Cyprinodontiformes; Poeciliidae. The record is from RefSeq and is a predicted model, not a curated record. The transcript is spliced from 5 exons.